Molecule: ribosomal RNA, 297 nt
Filed under: uncultured bacterium
Lineage: Bacteria
Description: partial 16S ribosomal RNA
Rfam family: Bacterial small subunit ribosomal RNA
Source: RNAcentral
GACGAACGCUGGCGGCGUGCUUAACACAUGCAAGUCGAGCGGUAAGGCCCUUUCGGGGGUACACGAGCGGCGAACGGGUGAGUAACACGUGGGUGACCUGCCCUCAGCUCUGGGAUAAGCCUGGGAAACUGGGUCUAAUACUGGAUAUGACUCCACGGUGCAUGUCGUGGGGUGGAAAGCCUUGUGCGGCUGAGGAUGGGCCCGCGGCCUAUCAGCUUGUUGGUGGGGUGANGGCCUACCAAGGCGACGACGGUAGCCGGCCUGAGAGGGCGACCGGCCACACUGGGACUGAGACAC